Molecule: ribosomal RNA, 474 nt
Filed under: uncultured bacterium
Lineage: Bacteria
Description: bacterial SSU rRNA
Rfam family: Bacterial small subunit ribosomal RNA
Source: RNAcentral
ACUCCUACGGGAGGCAGCAGUAGGGAAUCUUCCACAAUGGGCGCAAGCCUGAUGGAGCAACACCGCGUGAGUGAAGAAGGGUUUCGGCUCGUAAAGCUCUGUUGUUAAAGAAGAACACGUAUGAGAGUAACUGUUCGUACGUUGACGGUAUUUAACCAGAAAGUCACGGCUAACUACGUGCCAGCAGCCGCGGUAAUACGUAGGUGGCAAGCGUUAUCCGGAUUUAUUGGGGCGUAAAGAGAGUGCAGGCGGUUUUCUAAGUCUGAUGUGAAAGCCUUCGGCUUAACCGGAGAAGUGCAUCGGAAACUGGAUAACUUGAGUGCAGAAGAGGGUAGUGGAACUCCAUGUGUAGCGGUGGAAUGCGUAGAUAUAUGGAAGAACACCAGUGGCGAAGGCGGCUACCUGGUCUGCAACUGACGCUGAGACUCGAAAGCAUGGGUAGCGAACAGGAUUAGAUACCCUGGUAGGAUAGCG